AACCUCUAAUCAUAGUAUUAUACAUGAAAGUGUUACGGAGACAAAUAUAGUCGAAAACUAAGCAAGCGUAGGAGAAGAAAGAGGGGUUGUUGGAGGUGGCAGCAACAGAAAGGAGAGGUCCAAUGGCAAUAGGGUUCUCGUGAAGGAGGGUUUUGAGGAUAUGAGCAUGAAUUUGCUUCAGUUGGGUUAGGGUUUUGCAUUUGCGUGAGAGAGAAAUGACAGUGCUUAAAGGCUUAUUUGUUGCAACGGUAUUUUGGAUCAUCGGAAACUGGCAGCAAAAUUCUUAAUACGCCCGCAAGGGUGCUGAUAUCUGCUCGGCUAUACGGUUGGGUUGGUUAUACGACGUCGUUUCAAUGCGUCAACUGUUCAGUUCUUCAGGGUAAAUAGUAGUACAUUCUCCACCCUGUCAAAGUGCAACUUACGUAAAAUGGAAUCCAAUGGCCAUAGGGACGAGGAUGACACUACACUCUUCCAAAUAGUGUCCCACAACCAAGUCAUCCUUAUCAAACUCAGGAUUUCCAGAAAAUUACAAACUUUUGCCACACCAUUUGCUUCAAUAGCUUGACCUGCAACGAUGGGAAAUUGUGGCCUUCUGUGAAGAGCGGUAGGAUAAUGUAGCUGGAAGCCUGGAACUGGCUCCACCCACAGAGCAAGAUGUUCAGCCUAGAGCUCAAAGUCGGACUCUUUUGGUGCACCAUUGUGGUGGGUCUUUAUUG
Molecule: unclassified non-coding RNA, 716 nt
Filed under: Hevea brasiliensis (rubber tree)
Lineage: Eukaryota; Viridiplantae; Streptophyta; Magnoliopsida; Malpighiales; Euphorbiaceae
Source: RNAcentral